CCUACGGGUGGCAGCAGUGGGGAAUAUUGGACAAUGGGCGCAAGCCUGAUCCAGCCAUGCCGCGUGAGUGAUGAAGGCCCUAGGGUUGUAAAGCUCUUUCAGCGGGGAAGAUAAUGACGGUACCCGCAGAAGAAGCCCCGGCUAACUUCGUGCCAGCAGCCGCGGUAAUACGAAGGGGGCUAGCGUUGUUCGGAAUUACUGGGCGUAAAGCGCACGUAGGCGGACAUUUAAGUCAGGGGUGAAAUCCCGGGGCUCAACCCCGGAACUGCCUUUGAUACUGGGUGUCUUGAGUCCGGAAGAGGUGAGUGGAAUUCCGAGUGUAGAGGUGAAAUUCGUAGAUAUUCGGAGGAACACCAGUGGCGAAGGCGGCUCACUGGUCCGGAACUGACGCUGAGGUGCGAAAGCGUGGGGAGCAAACAGGAUUAGAUACCCCAGUAGUC
This 440-nucleotide ribosomal RNA is filed under the name uncultured bacterium. RNAcentral describes it as "bacterial SSU rRNA". It matches the Rfam family "Bacterial small subunit ribosomal RNA", at positions 338 to 795 of the family's 1533-position model. The record is from RNAcentral.